Molecule: ribosomal RNA, 140 nt
Filed under: uncultured bacterium
Lineage: Bacteria
Description: partial 16S ribosomal RNA
Rfam family: Bacterial small subunit ribosomal RNA
Source: RNAcentral
UACGGGAGGCAGCAGGGGGGAAUAUUGGACAAUGGGCGCAAGCCUGAUCCAGCCAUACCGCGUGUGUGAAGAAGGCCCUAGGGUUGUAAAGCACUUUAAGUUGGGAAGAAAAGUUAUUGGCUAAUACCCAAUGACCGUGA